CUGAUGGGUCGCUGCGUUGCCGUGGAGCGCGUGACCUCAUUGUGUAAGUAAGACGUGGUCAAUCACACAGAGGUCUUUGUAGCCUUCAACGACAAAGUAGGUGUUUUUGCACCUUUUGCGAUCAGUGGUGGUUUAUAACCUGCAGAAUGGAUAGGAAAAACUUGCAUCUCCUGGUCAGGAGUGGACUGAGAUCGGUCAUGGACCAAGAGCUUU
Molecule: non-coding RNA, 213 nt
Organism: Pelobates cultripes (western spadefoot toad)
Lineage: Eukaryota; Metazoa; Chordata; Amphibia; Anura; Pelobatidae
Source: the annotation of a GenBank genome assembly